AAAAAAAAAUUACUACUCUUUGUUUUAUGGUUUGCGAACCAACUUUGUAUUUCUAAACCCUAGCUUCUGCAAAACCCUCUCUCCCCACCCGAGCUUACGAUCCCUAUAAGGAUCUUGAUGCUCCAAUUCGAAACCUUUACCACCUCCCAACCUCGCCGGAGUUCCUCUUCGUUGAAGAGGCCCGCCGCAAGCGCCGCUCAUGGGGCGAGAACCUCACCUUCUACACCGGAUGCGGCUACCUGGCCGGAGCCGUUGGCGGUGCGGGCUUAGGACUCGUUGAGGGCGUCAAGGCCUUCGAGUCCGGGGACACAAUGAAGCUUCGAAUCAACCGCGUCCUGAACGCGGCGAGACACUCGGGUCGGGUCUGGGGAAACCGGGUCGGGAUACUAGGGUUACUCUACGCCGAAAUCGAGAGCAGAAUCGAGGCGGCAAGAGACGCGGACGACGUAUGAAAUAGUGUCCCAGCGGGCUCUGCACCAGCGCACUGUACCGGGCGGCGAGAGGGGUGAGAUCAGCGACAGUAGCCGGAGUGGUGGGCAGCGCUGUGGUGGGAGUGGUCGUGGCGGGGAAGCAAGCGUUGAAACAAUAUGUGCCUAUAUAAAAGAAAGAUCAUCACCCGGUUAGAGAACAAUUACAAGUUGUGCAACAACAGAUGGUUUGUCGGUGGGUAUUACACGAAGAUAAUGCUCAUCGCAGUAUAGUAUUGAAGAAAUGUGGGAUGCUUUAGGCAUUGAUUAAUUCAUGAAGUAGGACAACAUGAUCAAGUUGAAUACAUUGAAGUAUGGGAACAGAUAUUGAACAUAAUGUACAUAUUUUAGGUUGUUUAGUUUCUGUAAUGAAGAAUAUGUUGUAAUGUUUAAUGUUUAUGAAUUUUAUGAUUGAUUAUAAAAUGCUUUAUGGAUG
Molecule: small RNA, 903 nt
Filed under: Vigna angularis var. angularis
Lineage: Eukaryota; Viridiplantae; Streptophyta; Magnoliopsida; Fabales; Fabaceae
Description: Non-protein coding transcript
Source: RNAcentral